Molecule: ribosomal RNA, 541 nt
Filed under: uncultured archaeon
Lineage: Archaea
Description: bacterial SSU rRNA
Rfam family: Archaeal small subunit ribosomal RNA
Source: RNAcentral
CUGGUUGAUCUUUGACGGAGGUUACUGCUAUCGAGGUUCGACUAAGCCAUGCGAGUCGAAUGCCGCAAGGCAUGGCGUACUGCUCAGUAACACGUGGACAACCUACCCUUAGGACUGGGAUAACCCCGGGAAACUGGGAAUAAUCCCCGAUAGUCCUCGAAGGCUGGAAUGCAUCGAGGGCGAAAGCUCCGGCGCCUAAGGAUGGGUCUGCGGCCUAUCAGGUAGUAGUGGGUGUAGCGUACCUACUAGCCUACGACGGGUACGGGUUGUGAGAGCAAGAGCCCGGAGAUGGAUUCUGAGACACGAAUCCAGGCCCUACGGGGUGCAGCAGGCGCGAAAACUUUACAAUGCUGGCAACAGCGAUAAGGGAACCUCGAGUGCCAGGUUACCAAUCUGGCUGUCGAGAUGCCUAAAAAGCAUUUCAUAGCAAGGGCCGGGCAAGACCGGUGCUAGCCGCCGCGGUAACACCGGCGGCUCGAGUGGUAACCGUUAUUAUUGGGUCUAAAGGGUCUGUAGCCGGCCGGAUAAGUCUCUUGGGAAA